AAUAGAUACCCUGGUAGUCCACGCCGUAAACGAUGAGUGCUAAGUGUUAGAGGGUUUCCGCCCUUUAGUGCUGCAGCUAACGCAUUAAGCACUCCGCCUGGGGAGUACGGCCGCAAGGCUGAAACUCAAAGGAAUUGACGGGGGCCCGCACAAGCGGUGGAGCAUGUGGUUUAAUUCGAAGCAACGCGAAGAACCUUACCAGGUCUUGACAUCCUCUGCCAACCCUAGAGAUAGGGCGUUCCCCUUCGGGGGACAGAGUGACAGGUGGUGCAUGGUUGUCGUCAGCUCGUGUCGUGAGAUGUUGGGUUAAGUCCCGCAACGAGCGCAACCCUUGAUCUUAGUUGCCAGCAUUUAGUUGGGCACUCUAAGGUGACUGCCGGUGACAAACCGGAGGAAGGUGGGGAUGACGUCAAAUCAUCAUGCCCCUUAUGACCUGGGCUACACACAUGCUACAAUGGAUGGUACAAAGAGCUGCAAACCCGCGAGGGUAAGCCAAUCUCAUAAAGCCAUUCUCAGUUCGGAUUGUAGG
This 529-nucleotide ribosomal RNA is filed under the name uncultured bacterium. Its description in RNAcentral is "bacterial SSU rRNA". It matches the Rfam family "Bacterial small subunit ribosomal RNA", at positions 777 to 1304 of the family's 1533-position model. The record is from RNAcentral.